AACCCUAUCCACAGCGAUCCACAGCUUUGUGACUUAAGUUGGGGCUGCCCCCCCCCCACCCCUCUGAUUAGCGUACUACCAGCCGUUCCUAAACAUCAUCAUCAUCCCAAGGGUGCCACAUGCCCCCCCGAUCAGCAACCAUCUCUCAACACUAUGACAGAUGCCACGUACUUGGCCUGCAAGCCGGCAUCCCGCACAAAGCUAAUUAAAGGCGACGUAAGUUCCACUCAGGAACCUCCAACGACAGAUUGUAGCCACAGCAGAAAGGACAACAAAACUGACAGCGCAUUGUUCCGACCGCCUACAGCAUCCCGGUUCCCAUUGUGUUGUAUUGCUGGGGCUCAGCUAACAUCUUGGCUCGAUUUAACUGCGUUUUCCACCAGUACGACACGUUUGUUCUAUGAAGGGUUCUGGGAGUCUGGAGUGUAUUCCCAAUGCUCCGGAAGCAAAGGCAGGAAAUAACCCAGGACGGGGCACCAACCCAUCACAGCAAAAUCAAGAAGUGGAAUCAGGGAAUCAGAUGCUCAGGUGUGCCUGCCAUCCGUCCCAGCCCUGACGUGUCGGAGGACCUCAUGAACGUGACGUCUUGCCCGCCACAAUGCCUUCGCCCCACUAGCAUCGCACAGCUGUCCAGCUCAGCGUAAUAGACCCCUCGCUCAAGCCUGGCUCUAGGCAAUGCCAGAAAAAAAAAUAAAGCGAAAGGUCAGGGCAAAUCCACCAGGCAGUAAAACACUCCCCCCCCCAGUCUCCUGAGCCAAGCUGGAACCAACAGCGAGGCAAAGUGAUCCCUCCCGACAUGAACGAACCUCUAAGCAGUGUCAAGGGAACUGAGCCGUCUACGCACCAGAUCCUCUGUUGCGUGCGCGAGGCUGCUCAAGGAUUUGUUUCUUCUUUAAAUGCCGUCUAAAUUCAUUUAGAAGGGAUAUGCGCACCAACACAAAAUUGAAUAUGGCUUCUGAGAAACUAAGCAUAAAAAGAAUUAAACAUUAAACAUUCAAAUAAAACAAAUGUGGUCUAUGUCUACAUUUGUGUAACACUGGGAGCGGCUCCUGCUGCCGUAACUCACACAUAAUACUCACACAGAUGGCCUUUGUGUUUGAUGUAAUUUCAUUUAAUCUACAAAUGUUCAUCCUAUUUUUUGUACUGUUACUCAGAAACAUUCCUGCAAGAAUAAAUGUCACAAGUCGGCAGACAAUGACCUCUGAACCUGACAUUUCUGUGUGCACAUUAUGUUUAAGUUUUCUUUUUUUUGAAGGUUUUUUGAAAACAAUUUUUUUUGACAGUUGAAUCAAUUCAUUUCUAUAUGAAAUUUAAUAUUCCAUCCAUCCAUUCAUCCAUCCAUCCUCCAAUCACCUAUCCAGGACUGGGUUACAUAGACUUCUUGGAACUAUUCCCAGGCAGUCUAGGGCACAAGGCAGGGUACACCCUGGGUGGCAUGCCAGUCCAUCACUGGGUGCAAACACAUACUAUGGGCUAUGUAGAAACAGCAGUUCACCCAACUGAAUGCCUGUGCAUUUCCAGAGGACAAUUGGACGACAAGGGAGGUUGUUAGCAUCACACAUGCCCAACUCCGUAGGUGGAAGGACCAGCAGUACCCAGCAGUAAAUAUUACAUCUGGAAAUGACGCAUGUUUUGAUGCAUCAAGUUUGUUUCUUUUUUUUGAAAGAAAUAAAUUGCAGUUUGUUGUUAACGG
Molecule: non-coding RNA, 1693 nt
Organism: Paramormyrops kingsleyae
Lineage: Eukaryota; Metazoa; Chordata; Actinopteri; Osteoglossiformes; Mormyridae
Source: RefSeq, a predicted model, not a curated record